AGGCUUAACACUUGCAAGUCGAGGGGCAGCAUUUUAUUUUGGUUGCAAACUGAAGAUGGCGACCGGCGCACGGGUGAGUAACACGUAUCCAACCUGCCGAUAACUCCGGAAUAGCCUUUCGAAAGAAAGAUUAAUACCGGAUAGCAUACGAAUAUCGCAUGAUAUUUUUAUUAAAGAAUUUCGGUUAUCGAUGGGGAUGCGUUCCAUUAGUUUGUUGGCGGGGUAACGGCCCACCAAGACUACGAUGGAUAGGGGUUCUGAGAGGAAGGUCCCCCACAUUGGAACUGAGACACGGUCCAAACUCCUACGGGAGGCAGCAGUGAGGAAUAUUGGUCAAUGGGCGAGAGCCUGAACCAGCCAAGUAGCGUGAAGGAUGAAGGCUCUAUGGGUCGUAAACUUCUUUUAUAUGGGAAUAAAGUUUUCCAUGUGUGGAAUUUUGUAUGUACCAUAUGAAUAAGGAUCGGCUAACUCCGUGCCAGCAGCCGCGGUAAUACGGAGGAUCCGAGCGUUAUCCGGAUUUAUUGGGCUUAAAGGGAGCGUAGGUGGAUUGUUAAGUCAGUUGUGAAAGUUUGCGGCUCAACCGUAAAAUUGCAGUUGAAACUGGCAGUCUUGAGUACAGUAGAGGUGGGCGGAAUUCGUGGUGUAGCGGUGAAAUGCUUAGAUAUCACGAAGAACUCCGAUUGCGAAGGCAGCUCACUAGACUGUCACUGACACUGAUGCUCGAAAGUGUGGGUAUCAAACAGGAUUAGAUACCCUGGUAGUCCACACAGUAAACGAUGAAUACUCGCUGUUUGCGAUAUACAGUAAGCGGCCAAGCGAAAGCAUUAAGUAUUCCACCUGGGGAGUACGCCGGCAACGGUGAAACUCAAAGGAAUUGACGGGGGCCCGCACAAGCGGAGGAACAUGUGGUUUAAUUCGAUGAUACGCGAGGAACCUUACCCGGGCUUAAAUUGCAACAGAAUAUAUUGGAAACAGUAUAGCCGUAAGGCUGUUGUGAAGGUGCUGCAUGGUUGUCGUCAGCUCGUGCCGUGAGGUGUCGGCUUAAGUGCCAUAACGAGCGCAACCCUUAUCUUUAGUUACUAACAGGUCAUGCUGAGGACUCUAGAGAGACUGCCGUCGUAAGAUGUGAGGAAGGUGGGGAUGACGUCAAAUCAGCACGGCCCUUACGUCCGGGGCUACACACGUGUUACAAUGGGGGGUACAGAAGGCGGCUACCUGGUGACAGGAUGCUAAUCCCAAAAACCUCUCUCAGUUCGGAUCGAAGUCUGCAACCCGACUUCGUGAAGCUGGAUUCGCUAGUAAUCGCGCAUCAGCCAUGGCGCGGUGAAUACGUUCCCGGGCCUUGUACACACCGCCCGUCAAGCCAUGAAAGCCGGGGGUACCUGAAGUACGUAACCGCAAGGAGCGUCCUAGGGUAAAACUGGUAAUUGG
RNAcentral lists this ribosomal RNA (1431 nucleotides) under uncultured organism. RNAcentral's name for it is "SSU rRNA". It matches the Rfam family "Bacterial small subunit ribosomal RNA". The record is from RNAcentral.